Pogona vitticeps (central bearded dragon) is the source of this 435-nucleotide non-coding RNA. The record is from the annotation of a RefSeq genome assembly. Lineage: Eukaryota; Metazoa; Chordata; Lepidosauria; Squamata; Agamidae.
AUGGGCUUCCUCACUCUUAAAAUAGAGGUUUCCUCCAUUUCACAGACCAUCCUAGAAAUUACCAUGGACUCUCUAGCUCUGUUGCUUUUUGUCUUCUCCAUCUUUAAGCCAGGAUAUUCUGAAAUCCGCUUGACACAGUCUGGUGGGGAAACAUGGAAGCCUGGAACAACCCUACAGCUGACCUGCGCGGUCUCUGGAGACACCGUCACUUCUGGGUAUUCCUGGAAUUGGAUCCGCCAGCCACCCGAGAAGGGACUGGAAUGGAUAGGGAGGAUAUACUACAGUAGUUCCAAAUGGUACACAAAUUAUGGCUCAGCUUUCCAGAGCAGGGUCUCCAUCACGGCUGAUGCCUCCAAGAACAAAUAUUCUCUCGAGCUGAGGUCCCUGACAGCUGCCGACACAGCCGUGUAUUACUGUGCCCGAGAAUCACAGUGA